AAAAAAGAAAGCUUCAACACUUCUCUUCUCUUCUCUGCUUGUUCGACCCCUUGUUUUCAAUUUCAGUCAUAUAUUUUGUUGGACUGAAAGCAGUAGUAAGUGAAAGUGUGCAGCAACCACUACUCUGCUAUGACAACUUGAUCAGGACAAUUUUUCUAUUUCAAGAAGGAUAUUGUGUUUUCAAGGCUUACUGUCUUUGAUUGGCGUUGAUUACGGCGUUGGGAAAAAUACUCUAUUGUUGUAGACAAGGGGCAGUAGGAAGCAAGUGCCAUAGACAUGAUCGUGCCAGUAGGAUUGAGAGAAUCUUAAGCUUUUCAUGCAUCUGAUGGCAAUGCUGAACUGGUCUUGUCAAUGCAGUACAUCACCAAAGGGGAGCAGCCAAUUGAAUUUCCAUGACAGCUAUGUUUCUAUUCAAAGCUAUUGGCCCUGCUGCUGGUGGUACAAUGCACAAAUAACUUCAAUAUUGAGGAUGAUCCAUUAUUCUGACAAAGUGCAUGUGCUUAGGGAGGCCAUUAAUAUCCUGUGGAAAUCGAGCAUGGUCCA
Trifolium pratense (red clover) is the source of this 543-nucleotide long non-coding RNA. RefSeq lists it as uncharacterized. Lineage: Eukaryota; Viridiplantae; Streptophyta; Magnoliopsida; Fabales; Fabaceae. The transcript is spliced from 6 exons. The record is from RefSeq and is a predicted model, not a curated record.